RNAcentral lists this unclassified non-coding RNA (2804 nucleotides) under Hevea brasiliensis (rubber tree). Lineage: Eukaryota; Viridiplantae; Streptophyta; Magnoliopsida; Malpighiales; Euphorbiaceae. The record is from RNAcentral.
CUAUGACUAACAUUCUCCUCACAUGUCUCCUCUACUUAAAGGAUUGAGUCGAUAUAUUUAAAGUGAUUACUUUGGGAUAGUACCACUCCGUCCAAACUAGCUCCUUCCCUAUCACCAGUUUGGCUUUCACUGAACUUGCUAACAAUAGAAGAUAUAAUUGAUCAAAAACCAAAUAAAGGAACAACCAAGAAUUGUCAGACAGAUUUCAACCAAAAUUACAUACAGUUCCAUUCCUGUGUUUCCAUGAAAUUCAUUUCUGUACGACAACAGAACUGCUACCCAUAACAAAAUUAAAUUCAUAGAUUCUUCUUGCAGAACAUCUCAAGAAAAGGAAACAAUUCAGCAAUAUUUCAUAAACAAAGCAAUACAGGGGACCAGAAUCCAAAUUGGGUAACUAAAUGAAUUUGAGAAUAAGGCAGAAAUUCCUCUUACCAAGCAAAUAACUAAGAAUCAGCCAAAAAAAGAGAAAGCUAUAUAUUACACGGAAUAAAGAUUCUUAUAGGUUUUUUCCAAGUCAAUAAUGGAAGAAAUCUAUUUCGCUACAUUCCAUUACAAUCCUACCAAAGUGAGCAUUAAAUCAUCAUAAAAUAUCUUCAACCCUUUCUGUGCAGCUAAAGAGACAGGUUAUGCAUUAGACACACAAUAAACAUUCUUAUAGCUUUUCGCCAAGUCAAUGAUGAAAGUACCUAUUUGACUGCACUCCAUUACAAUCCUACCAAAAGGGGCACUUGCAUCACUACAAGAUAUCUUUAACACUUCGAAUGCGGCUAAAGAGACAGGAUAACCUUUUCUAAAUUUCAGAAAAGUCAUAUAUGCAAUUUGUGCCUAUUCUUUAUUUAUGCCUAUUCUUUUGCUGUUUAUAGUGCACAAAAAGAUACAUACGCUUUGAUAUAAUAGUAAGUAGGUGUUAAUUGGUACUCUAAAUCUGGUACUCUAAAUCUCACUUCCAAACACAACAAAUGGCAUCACAGUCAAAAGUAUCACUCUUUAUGUACAAACAGUAAGAGAACUUUAUUUUUCUUUUUUUUGGAUGAAGAUAAUUUAUAAAUAACAGAGGCAAAAUGUUAGUGAUGUUGGUAAUGAAGCUUUCUGAAAUAGCCAGACCACUCUUUUAAUUCAGUAAAUAUCACUAACCACAGCUCUUUUCUGCACCAAAUAAAGAAUGAACCAAUAAAGAAAUUGCUGAAUAUCAUGUCUAAACCAAUUAGGAUGUAAGAUAGUUAUUUCUUUCCUUUGGGAAGAUUGAGCAGGAAUGGUGGAUCCUAAUAUACUACAUUUCUCCCUAAAACAUAAUGCAAAAUUAAAGUAAGAUCAACAAUCCAAGGAAAAAAAACCCCAAAAUAAAAUCUACAUCAACAGAUAAAAAUCAUACAAAAAUCCAAUAAUUUUGCAUAAUCAAAUAAGCAAAAAAACAUCAUAAAAAAAUAACAAAAGUUAUAAAAUUAACAACUAUAAGUAAAUAAUGAAGAAAGGUAAAUGCAUGACAUACCGAAAGAAGAAAACCAAAAACCCAAUGAUGGAAACACAAAACAAAAACACUAAGAAAAGAAGUAGAAGUUUUAAGAAGAAAUUAAAACAUGUCAAAUGGUACAAAACAAUUAUAGAAACAUACAAACAUAGUACAAGAAGCGUGAAAAAUGAAAUGAUUGCCAAGAGCAUGCUUAAAAGAAGAAUAAUUAAUUCACUAUUUGGCAUGGGAAAAUCGGUAAAAAAAAAGGUAAACCUAAUCAUGAAAUUAAAAAGAAUAGAAAUCACCUGUUACCCAUCAAAUCAAGAAGAAGCAAAUCAACUUGAAGAAGCAAAAGGGUGUAGAAGGAGAUGCUUUGCCACCAAAUCGCAAUUGAGUCAUAUGAGAUGAAGACUUUGAAAAAAAAAAGAGAAAAAGGCUAAAAAAAAAGAAAACAGCAAAAAAGGGAGAACAGAGGUGGGAAAUGGCAAGCAGAACAUUGAAAUGGCGUCGUUUUUCGAAGAGGAUGUCUCAAUUAGGGAAUGGAAAAGAAUUCAGCGUGCAAGGAAGGGAGAAAAAAAAAUAUAACCUGAAGAACAGCAUCAUUUAAUUGAAGGAGGGGAGAAAAAAAAAAGGUAUAAAGUUGCACAAAAUAACCAAAUCGCUGCUCAAUUGCCACUAUUCCUUAGAGCAAUAAUUUUGGCAUGGAAAUGUACCAGAAAUUGUGGUAAAGGAACUGUUCGCUAUAUGGACCUUUUCUUUUACUGAGCAUGGGGAAUAGGUAGAGCAUUUAUUUGAAAAGUUUGUCAUAUGUUUGUUUGUUCUAUGUUUGUUUGUUCCAAAAUCUAUAAAUCAACAAGAUUUAUCAAAUUUAGCAAGAAAAACAUUGCUAGAUUUGACAAAAUUUGAAAAGACAACUCUGAAAAAUUGAGAUUCAAGCCAAGACAGCAAACAUCUUAAAACUGAUCUUCUUCAUUGAAAAUUUUGUUCCUUCAGUAAUCCACUUUUUUAGACAUAUUCACUUAUGGUCAGGUCAAGGACAAGAGUUGAGUAGUGGCGCGGCACACAAGAAAAAGCUGAAAAUGAAAGGUCCAUGAGUUGUGAACAGUACCUCGUGAACAGUGCACAUAAACAGUGUGCGUGAACAGUGCCAAUGUAUAGUACUAAAAACUGUCCUAAUAAUCGAAUGCUCUUAUACGAAGGUGAAAAAAAUUGAUAUUUGAGGGAAUUUUCUGUAUUUCUUAAUGGUAAGAAAUGAUAUACAAAGCUCGUACUUGUAUACAAAGAAUCAUACCUAAGUAGGAAACUGAAAAAAUAAGAAGCUGACUACAACAGGAAAAUACAAUUAAUGCCUAAU